AACGAACGCUGGCGGCAUGCCUAACACAUGCAAGUCGAACGAGACCUUCGGGUCUAGUGGCGCACGGGUGCGUAACGCGUGGGAACCUGCCUUUAGGUUCGGAAUAACUCAGAGAAAUUUGAGCUAAUACCGGAUAAUGUCUUCGGACCAAAGAUUUAUCGCCUUUAGAUGGGCCCGCGUUGGAUUAGCUAGUUGGUGGGGUAAAGGCCUACCAAGGCGACGAUCCAUAGCUGGUCUGAGAGGAUGAUCAGCCACACUGGGACUGAGACACGGCCCAGACUCCUACGGGAGGCAGCAGUGGGGAAUAUUGGACAAUGGGCGAAAGCCUGAUCCAGCAAUGCCGCGUGAGUGAUGAAGGUCUUAGGAUUGUAAAAUUCUUUCACCGGGGAAGAUAAUGACGGUACCCGGAGAAGAAGCCCCGGCUAACUUCGUGCCAGCAGCCGCGGUAAU
Molecule: ribosomal RNA, 450 nt
Filed under: uncultured bacterium
Lineage: Bacteria
Description: bacterial SSU rRNA
Rfam family: Bacterial small subunit ribosomal RNA
Source: RNAcentral